UACGUAGGGUGCAAGCGUUAAUCGGAAUUACUGGGCGUAAAGCGUGCGCAGGCGGUUUUGUAAGUUUGUCGUGAAAGCCCCGGGCUCAACCUGGGAAUUGCGAUGAAGACUGCAAGGCUUGAAUCUGGCAGAGGGGGGUAGAAUUCCACGUGUAGCAGUGAAAUGCGUAGAGAUGUGGAGGAACACCGAUGGCGAAGGCAGCCCCCUGGGUCAAGAUUGGCGCUCAUGCACGAAAGCGUGGGGAGCAAACAGG
RNAcentral lists this ribosomal RNA (253 nucleotides) under uncultured bacterium. RNAcentral's name for it is "partial 16S ribosomal RNA". It matches the Rfam family "Bacterial small subunit ribosomal RNA", at positions 524 to 776 of the family's 1533-position model. The record is from RNAcentral.